Molecule: ribosomal RNA, 484 nt
Filed under: uncultured bacterium
Lineage: Bacteria
Description: partial 16S ribosomal RNA
Rfam family: Bacterial small subunit ribosomal RNA
Source: RNAcentral
AUUGAACGCUGGCGGCAGGCCUAACACAUGCAAGUCGAGCGGAUGAAGGGAGCUUGCUCCUGGAUUCAGCGGCGGACGGGUGAGUAAUGCCUAGGAAUCUGCCUGGUAGUGGGGGAUAACGUCCGGAAACGGGCGCUAAUACCGCAUACGUCCUGAGGGAGAAAGUGGGGGAUCUUCGGACCUCACGCUAUCAGAUGAGCCUAGGUCGGAUUAGCUAGUUGGUGGGGUAAAGGCCUACCAAGGCGACGAUCCGUAACUGGUCUGAGAGGAUGAUCAGGCACACUGGAACUGAGACACGGUCCAGACUCCUACGGGAGGCAGCAGUGGGGAAUAUUGGACAAUGGGCGAAAGCCUGGUCCAGCCAUGCCGCGUGUGUGAAGAAGGUCUUCGGAUUGUAAAGCACUUUAAGUUGGGAGGAAGGGCAGUAAGUUAAUACCUUGCUGUUUUGACGUUACCAACAGAAUAAGCACCGGCUAACUUCGUG